This 374-nucleotide ribosomal RNA is filed under the name uncultured bacterium. RNAcentral describes it as "bacterial SSU rRNA". It matches the Rfam family "Bacterial small subunit ribosomal RNA", at positions 29 to 433 of the family's 1533-position model. The record is from RNAcentral.
AGCGAACGCUGGCGGCAUGCUUAACACAUGCAAGUCGCGCGGUCAGCAAUGGCAGCGGCGGACGGGUGAGUAACGCGUAGGAAUGUAUCUAGAGGUGGGGGACAACCCUGGGAAACUGGGGCUAAUACCGCAUAUGUCCUGAGGGACAAAGCCGAGAGGCGCCUUUGGAGCAGCCUGCGUCCGAUUAGGUAGUUGGUGGGGUAACGGCUACCAAGCCUGCGAUCGGUAGCUGGUCUGAGAGGACGACCAGCCACACUGGGACUGAGACACGGCCCAGACUCCUACGGAGGCAGCAGUGGGAAUAUUGGACAAUGGGCGCAAGCCUGAUCCAGCAAUGCCGCGUGGGUGAAGAAGGUCUUCGGAUUGUAAAGCCC